RNAcentral lists this ribosomal RNA (468 nucleotides) under uncultured bacterium. RNAcentral describes it as "partial 16S ribosomal RNA". It matches the Rfam family "Bacterial small subunit ribosomal RNA", at positions 28 to 507 of the family's 1533-position model. The record is from RNAcentral.
GACGAACGCUGGCGGCGUGCUUAACACAUGCAAGUCGAACGGAAAGGCCCUGCUUUUGUGGGGUGCUCGAGUGGCGAACGGGGGAGUAACACGUGAGUAACCUGCCCUUGACUUUGGGAUAACUUCAGGAAACUGGGGCUAAUACCGGAUAGGAGCUCCUGCUGCAUGGAGGGGGGUGGAAAGUUUCGGCGGUUGGGGAUGGACUCGCGGCUUAUGAGCUUGUUGGUGGGGUAGUGGCUGACCAAGGCUGUGACGGGUAGCCGGCCUGGGAGCGUGACCGGGCACCUUGGGCCUACGGUACGGCCCAGUCGGCUACGGUAGGCAGCAGUGGGAAACAUUGCACAGCGGGCCGGAGCCUGAUACAGCGGCGCCGCGUGCGGAAUGACGGCCUUCUGGGUAUGAACCGCUUUCGCCUGUGACGAAGCGGUAGUGACGGUAAUGGGUAAAGAAGCACCGGCUAACUACGUG